UCCAGGUCCUGAUGUAACACUGAUCCAGGUCCUGAUGUAACACUGAUCCAGGUCCUGAUGUAACAAUGAUCCAGGUCCUGAUGUAACACUGAUCCAGGUCCUGAUGUAACAAUGAUCCAGGUCCUGAUGUAACACUGAUCCAGGUCCUGAUGUAACACUGAUCCAGGUCCUGAUGUAACACUGAUUCAGGUCCUGAUGUAACAAUGAUCCUGGUCCUGAUGUAACACUGAUCCAGGUCCUUAUGUAACACUGAUCCAGGUCCAUAUGUAACACUGAUCCAGGUCCUGAUGUAACACUGAUCCAGGUCCUGAUGUAACACUGAUCCAGGUCCUGAUGUAACAAUGAUCCAGGUCCUGAUGUAACACUGAUCCAGGUCCUGAUGUAACACUGAUCCAGGUCCUGAUGUAACACUGAUCCAGGUCCUGAUGUAACACUGAUCCAGGUCCUGAUGUAACACUGAUUCAGGUCCUGAUGUAACAAUGAUCCUGGUCCUGAUGUAACACUGAUCCAGGUCCUGAUGUAACAAUGAUCCAGGUCCUGAUGUAACACUGAUCCAGGUCCUGAUGUGACACUCAUCCAGGUCCUGAUGUAACACUGAUCCAGGUCCUGAUGUAACACUCAUCCAGGUCCUGAUGUAACACUCAUCCAGGUCCUGAUGUAACACUCAUCCAGGUCCUGAUGUAACACUGAUCCAGGUCCUGAUGUAACACUGAUCCAGGUCCUGAUGUAACACUGAUCCAGGUCCUGAUGUAACACUCAUCCAGGUCCUGAUGUAACACUGAUCCAGGUCCUGAUGUAACACUGAUCCAGGUCCUGAUGUAACACUGAUCCAGGUCCUGAUGUAACAAUGAUCCAGGUCCUGAUGUAACACUGAUCCAGGUCCUGAUGUAACAAUGAUCCAGGUCCUGAUGUAACACUGAUCCAGGUCCUGAUGUAACACUGAUCCAGGUCCUGAUGUAACACUGAUUCAGGUCCUGAUGUAACAAUGAUCCUGGUCCUGAUGUAACACUGAUCCAGGUCCUUAUGUAACACUGAUCCAGGUCCAUAUGUAACACUGAUCCAGGUCCUGAUGUAACACUGAUCCAGGUCCUGAUGUAACACUGAUCCAGGUCCUGAUGUAACAAUGAUCCAGGUCCUGAUGUAACACUGAUCCAGGUCCUGAUGUAACACUGAUCUAGGUCCUGAUGUAACACUGA
This is a non-coding RNA of Nothobranchius furzeri (turquoise killifish), 1196 nucleotides long. The record is from RefSeq and is a predicted model, not a curated record. NCBI's taxonomy places the organism in Eukaryota, Metazoa, Chordata, Actinopteri, Cyprinodontiformes, Nothobranchiidae.